GACGAACGCUGGCGGCGUGCUUAACACAUGCAAGUCGAACGGUAAGGCCCUUCGGGUACAAGAGGGGCGAAAGGGGUAGGAAAACGUGGGGGGUCUGCCCUGCAAUUCGGGGUUAGCCUGGGGAAACGGGUCCUAUACCGGAUAGGACUUCUGGGCUCCUGGGUGGGGGGGGAAAGGCUUUGCGGGGUGGGAGGGGGCCGCGGCCUAUCAGGUUGUUGGGGGGGUAAUGGCCUACCAAGGCGACGACGGGUAGGCGGCCUGAGAGGGUGACCGGUCACACUGGGACUGAGAUACGGCCCAGACUCCUACGGGAGGCAGCAGUGGGGAAUAUUGCACAAUGGGCGCAAGCCUGAUGCAGCGACGCCGCGUGAGGGAUGACGGCCUUCGGGUUGUAAACCUCUUUCAGCUAUGACGAAGCGCAAGUGACGGUAGUAGCAGAAGAAGGACCGGCCAACUACGUGCCAGCCGCCGCAGUAA
This 477-nucleotide ribosomal RNA is filed under the name uncultured bacterium. RNAcentral describes it as "partial 16S ribosomal RNA". It matches the Rfam family "Bacterial small subunit ribosomal RNA", at positions 28 to 523 of the family's 1533-position model. The record is from RNAcentral.